AUGAUUGCCACACAAGGUAUCUUG
RNAcentral lists this non-coding RNA (24 nucleotides) under Arabidopsis thaliana (thale cress). Lineage: Eukaryota; Viridiplantae; Streptophyta; Magnoliopsida; Brassicales; Brassicaceae. The record is from RNAcentral.